UACAGAGGGUGCAAGCGUUAAUCGGAAUUACUGGGCGUAAAGCGUGCGUAGACGGUUAUGUAAGUCAGGUGUGAAAGCCCCGGGCUCAACCUGGGAAUGCCAUUGGAAACUAGCGGGCUUGAGUGUGGCAGAGGGGGGUGGAAUUCCACGUGUAGCAGUGAAAUGCGUAGAGAUGUGGAGGAACACCGAUGGCGAAGGCAGCCCCCUGGGCUAACACUGACGCUCAUGCACGAAAGCGUGGGGAGCAAACAGG
This 253-nucleotide ribosomal RNA is filed under the name uncultured bacterium. RNAcentral describes it as "partial 16S ribosomal RNA". It matches the Rfam family "Bacterial small subunit ribosomal RNA", at positions 524 to 776 of the family's 1533-position model. The record is from RNAcentral.